GACGAACGCUGGCGGCGUGCUUAACACAUGCAAGUCGAACGGAAAGGCCCUGCUUUUGUGGGGUGCUCGAGUGGCGAACGGGUGAGUAACACGUGAGUAACCUGCCCUUGACUUUGGGAUAACUUCAGGAAACUGGGGCUAAUACCGGAUAGGAGCUCCUGCUGCAUGGUGGGGGUUGGAAAGUUUCGGCGGUUGGGGAUGGACUCGCGGCUUAUCAGCUUGUUGGUGGGGUAGUGGCUUACCAAGGCUUUGACGGGUAGCCGGCCUGAGAGGGUGACCGGCCACAUUGGGACUGAGAUACGGCCCAGACUCCUACGGGAGGCAGCAGUGGGGAAUAUUGCACAAUGGGCGGAAGCCUGAUGCAGCAACGCCGCGUGCGGGAUGACGGCCUUCGGGUUGUAAACCGCUUUCGCCUGUGACGAAGCGUGAGUGACGGUAAUGGGUAAAGAAGCACCGGCUAACUACGUGCCAGCAGCCGCGGUGAUACGUAGGGUGCGAGCGUUGUCCGGAUUUAUUGGGCGUAAAGGGCUCGUAGGUGGUUGAUCGCGUCGGAAGUGUAAUCUUGGGGCUUAACCCUGAGCGUGCUUUCGAUACGGGUUGACUUGAGGAAGGUAGGGGAGAAUGGAAUUCCUGGUGGAGCGGUGGAAUGCGCAGAUAUCAGGAGGAACACCAGUGGCGAAGGCGGUUCUCUGGGCCUUUCCUGACGCUGAGGAGUGAAAGCGUGGGGAGCGAACAGGCUUAGAUACCCUGGUAGUCCACGCUGUAAACGGUGGGUACUAGGUGUGGGGUCCAUUCCACGGGUUCCGUGCCGUAGCUAACGCUUUAAGUACCCCGCCUGGGGAGUACGGCCGCAAGGCUAAAACUCAAAGGAAUUGACGGGGCCCCGCACAAGCGGCGGAGCAUGCGGAUUAAUUCGAUGCAACGCGUAGAUCCUUACCUGGGUUUGACAUGGAUCGGGAGUGCUCAGAGAUGGGUGUGCCUCUUUUGGGGUCGGUCCACAGGUGGUGCAUGGCUGUCGUCAGCUCGUGUCGUGAGAUGUUGGGUUAAGUCCCGCAACGAGCGCAACCCUUGUUCACUGUUGCCAGCACGUUAUGGUGGGGACUCAGUGGAGACCGCCGGGGUCAACUCGGAGGAAGGUGGGGAUGACGUCAAGUCAUCAUGCCCCUUAUGUCCAGGGCUUCACGCAUGCUACAAUGGCUGGUACAGAGAGUGGCGAGCCUGUGAGGGUGAGCGAAUCUCGGAAAGCCGGUCUCAGUUCGGAUUGGGGUCUGCAACUCGACCUCAUGAAGUCGGAGUCGCUAGUAAUCGCAGAUCAGCAACGCUGCGGUGAAUACGUUCCCGGG
This 1343-nucleotide ribosomal RNA is filed under the name uncultured bacterium. Its description in RNAcentral is "16S ribosomal RNA". It matches the Rfam family "Bacterial small subunit ribosomal RNA", at positions 28 to 1378 of the family's 1533-position model. The record is from RNAcentral.